This 497-nucleotide ribosomal RNA is filed under the name uncultured bacterium. Its description in RNAcentral is "partial 16S ribosomal RNA". It matches the Rfam family "Bacterial small subunit ribosomal RNA", at positions 28 to 507 of the family's 1533-position model. The record is from RNAcentral.
GAUGAACGCUGGCGGCGUGCCUAAUACAUGCAAGUCGAGCGAACGGACGAGAAGCUUGCUUUUCUGAUGUUAGCGGCGGACGGGUGAGUAACACGUGGCUAACCUACCUACAAGACUGGGAUAACUUCGGGAAACCGGAGCUAAUACCGGAUAAUAUUUUGAACCGCAUGGUUCAAAAGUGAAAGACGGUCUUGCUGUCACUUAUAGAUGGAUCCGCGCUGCAUUAGCUAGUUGGUAAGGUAACGGCUUACCAAGGCAACGAUGCAUAGCCGACCUGAGAGGGUGAUCAGCCACACUGGAACUGAGACACGGUCCAGACUCCUACGGGAGGCAGCAGUAGGGAAUCUUCCGCAAUGGGCGAAAGCCUGACGGAGCAACGCCGCGUGAGUGAUGAAGGUCUUCGGAUCGUAAAGCUCUGUUAUUAGGGAAGAACAUAUGUGUAAGUAACUGUGCACAUCUUGACGGUACCUAAUCAGAAAGCCACGGCUAACUACGUG